GGGGUUGUGGCUCAGUGGUAGAGUGCUUGCCUACCAUGCAUGGGGGAACUGGGUUCAAUCCUCAGCACCA
Molecule: transfer RNA, 70 nt
Filed under: Ictidomys tridecemlineatus (thirteen-lined ground squirrel)
Lineage: Eukaryota; Metazoa; Chordata; Mammalia; Rodentia; Sciuridae
Description: Spermophilus tridecemlineatus (thirteen-lined ground squirrel) tRNA
Rfam family: tRNA
About the family: Transfer RNA (tRNA) molecules are approximately 80 nucleotides in length. Their secondary structure includes four short double-helical elements and three loops (D, anti-codon, and T loops).
Source: Rfam by way of RNAcentral